This is a non-coding RNA of Pimephales promelas (fathead minnow), 4529 nucleotides long. NCBI's taxonomy places the organism in Eukaryota, Metazoa, Chordata, Actinopteri, Cypriniformes, Leuciscidae. The record is from RefSeq and is a predicted model, not a curated record.
GCGCGCGCGCUCACUGAGAGAAAAGCAGCUCAUCAUCAUCUCAGAAGGACUGCAGACACACACACAGAGAGAUAAAGAGAGACAGAAUAAAUGCCGAAAUAAGAUCCGUCCUGAAAGCGUGAUCGUGAGAGAAAGAGAGAGAGAGAUAGAGAGACGGAAUAAAUCAAUGCAGAAAUUCACUUAAAACACAUAUUCUGUCAUUGCCGGUCAUCGCGAUGGGGAACCGGGGGAUGGAGGAUCUGAUUCCUCUGGUCAACCGAAUGCAAGAUGCGUUCUCCGCCAUCGGGCAGAACGCGGAGCUGGACCUGCCGCAGAUCGCGGUGGUGGGCGGACAAAGCGCCGGGAAAAGCUCCGUUCUCGAGAACUUCGUGGGGAAGGACUUCCUCCCGCGCGGAUCUGGCAUCGUCACCCGCCGUCCGCUCGUCCUCCAGCUCAUCAACUGCCCCACAGAAUAUGCCGAGUUCCUCCACUGUAAGGGGAAGAAGUUCACGGAUUUCGAUGAGGUGCGUCAGGAGAUCGAGGCGGAGACGGAUCGGGUCACGGGACAGAAUAAAGGCAUCUCACCCGUGCCCAUCAACCUGCGGGUCUAUUCGCCAAACGUACUGAACCUGACGCUGGUGGAUCUGCCUGGAAUGACUAAAGUGCCGGUGGGAGAUCAGCCGGCAGACAUCGAGCACCAGAUCAGAGAUAUGCUGAUGCAGUUCGUGACCAAAGACAACUGUCUUCUGCUCGCCGUAUCGCCCGCCAACUCGGACCUCGCCAACUCUGACGCGCUGAAGAUCGCCAAAGAAGUCGACCCGCAGGGUCAGCGGACUAUCGGUGUCAUCACUAAACUGGAUCUCAUGGAUGAAGGGACCGACGCUCGGGAUAUCCUGGAAAACAAGCUCCUGCCUCUGAGACGAGGUUACAUCGGUGUGGUGAACCGCAGUCAGAAAGACAUCGACGGAAAGAAGGAUAUUAACGCGGCUAUGGCUGCGGAGAGGAAGUUUUUCCUGUCUCAUCCCAGUUAUAGACACCUGGCCGACCGCAUGGGAACGCCGUUCCUGCAGAAAACCCUCAACCAGCAACUGACCAAUCACAUCCGCGACACGCUCCCGGCGCUGCGUGCCAAACUGCAGAGCCAGGUGCUGUCCAUCGAGAAAGAAGUGGACGAAUACAAGAACUUCCGUCCGGACGACCCGUCCCGCAAGACCAAGGCCCUGUUGCAGAUGGUGCAGCAGUUCUCGGUGGACUUUGAGAAGCGUAUAGAGGGAUCUGGAGAUCAGAUAGACACGUAUGAGCUCUCCGGAGGAGCCCGCAUCAAUCGCAUCUUCCACGAGCGCUUCCCCUUCGAGCUGGUGAAGAUGGAGUUUGAUGAGAAGGAGCUGCGCAAGGAGAUCAGCUACGCCAUCAAGAACAUCCACGGCAUCAGAACUGGGCUCUUCACACCGGACAUGGCCUUUGAGACCAUUGUGAAAAGGCAGAUCAUGAAGACUAAAGAGCCGUGCCAGAAAUGUGUGGACAUGGUCAUUUCUGAGCUAGUCAAUACCGUUAGGCAGUGUACUAAGAAGUUGGCCCAGUAUCCCAUGCUGAGAGAGGAGAUGGAGCGGAUCGUCACUCAGCACAUCCGAGACCGCGAGAGCCGCACUAAAGAUCAGGUGCUGCUGUUGAUUGACAUCGAGCUGGCGUACAUGAACACCAACCAUGAAGAUUUCAUCGGGUUUGCCAAUGCUCAGCAGAGAAGCAGUCAGGCGAGCAAGAAGAAAGCGGCGGGUAAUCAGGGCCAGGAUGAAAUCAUGGUGAUCAGGAAGGGCUGGCUGACCAUCAAUAACAUCGGCAUCAUGAAGGGCGGCGCUAAAGAGUACUGGUUUGUGCUGACGGCCGAAUCGCUGUCCUGGUACAAGGAUGACGAGGAGAAAGAGAAGAAGUACAUGCUGCAGGUGGACAAUCUGAAGCUCAGAGAUGUGGAGAAGGGCUUCAUGUCCAGCAAACACAUCUUUGCCCUGUUCAACACUGAGCAAAGGAACGUGUAUAAGGACUACCGUCAGCUGGAGUUGGCCUGUGAGAGUCAGGAGGACGUGGACGGCUGGAAGGCGUCGUUCCUGCGCGCCGGCGUUUACCCCGAGCGUGUGGUGGAGAAGGAAAAGAGUGACGCCGGGGAAGAGAACGGUUCGGACGGGUUCAUGCACUCCUUGGACCCUCAGCUGGAGCGGCAGGUGGAGACCAUCCGAAACCUGGUGGACUCGUACAUGAGCAUCGUCAACAAGACUGUACGAGACCUGAUGCCCAAGACCAUCAUGCACCUGAUGAUUAACAACACGAAGGAGUUCAUCAACGCGGAGCUGUUGGCUCAGCUGUACUCGUGUGGAGACCAGAACACCCUGAUGGAGGAGUCUGCGGACCAGGCGCAGCACCGGGACGAGAUGCUCCGCAUGUAUCACGCUCUGAAAGAAGCGCUCCAGAUCAUCGGGGACAUCAGCACCACCACCGUCACCACGGCCCUGCCUCCACCCGUGGACGACUCCUGGCUGCAGGUGCAGCGCUCCGGCUCCGGGGGAAGGUCUCCGGCCGCCAGCCCGACCCCUCAGAGACGAGCUCCUCCUCCAGGACCCCCGGGACGCCCAGUUUCUCGUGGUUCGGCCCCGGUGCCCCCCGCUGCCGGCGGACCCCCCGUCCCCUCACGCCCGGGAGCCUCUCCAGACCCGUUCGGUGGACCCCCGCCUCAGGUCCCGUCCCGGCCUAACCGCGCACCGCCCGGCGUGCCCAGCCGCGGAAUGUGAGAUUCUAGCCGGCGGAAUAAGAUGGUGUGGAAUUACAAUCAGUGACCAAUGAGGAGUAACGCUUCUGUGGUCCCUGAGCUCACGGGCCAGAAGACGACACCGAAGGCUUUCAUGGUCCAGCAGGUCAAACACGAGCAGCCCCGACGGUCCCCUUCUCUCCACGUGACCCUUAAAACACUCUUCUUUCCUGCUUUCUUCUUCUUGGUUUUCCCCCCACAUUGAGUAAAACAACCCCAAACCCAGCAGCAACACGAGCAAAAAGAACAAGACGAGAUGUUUCCUGAACCCUCGGCUCAUCGUCCGGUUGAUCGCUAUGGUUAAAUCUUCUAGAAACUAGAGGCCUUCCCUGGAACAAAUCCUUUAAAUGACUUCCUCAUCGUAUUCAAAAGCCAUUUAUUCCUACACUGCAACAAAAAAAUCUGUAUUUUUGUCUCAUUUUCAAGUAAAAGAGUUUCUUUUGCAGUGUAAAGCUUACAGGUAUGAGGACGUGUGUUCACCCUUCGUGAUCGUGCACAGAAAUCAUUGGUUCGCUUAGUUAAAUCUGAACUUUUAGUGGGGCUGGAUUGAAUUUGAGAGUGCAAUAUAAUCACUAUACAAGCAUGUCAUUAAAACAUAAUAGAGCAGUUUUGGGGUGAACAGACACUUAAAACCUGUUUAAUUUAUUCCACAAAGGAAGUGUUUAUGACAUCUGUCAUGUCGGGAGGGUUUUCCACACACAGACUGUAUGGAAUUGAAUACUUGCUUACUUUAUAUACUUGCUGUGCAGUGUGUACUGUAUACUGCAUACUAUUUUCAAUGCACAGCAUGUGAAAGUGCACUAUUCAAUGUUAAACACACAAUGUUGUCAACUGCAUUGGAGCAUUUGCAAACUAUAUACUGCAGAAAUACUGAUGUUCUCAACAUAUCCAUAUACGAUUAAAUGUGCUGUAAAAUGCACAUGAUGUCCUUCUCAAAGAUAGUUUCUUAUUGCCUAAAAAAAAAUAAAAAAUCAUUUAUGGCAUUAAAAGCACGCUUUUUUUUCUGUGUGUGGACAAACUUUCCCCAAAAUAUGUGCUGUGCAUUGAAAUUACACACAUUUAUUUCAAGUCUGAUUUUCCUGUCUGUAAUUUAGUGUUUGUUAUGAAAGCAAAAAUGAAGUCUAAUAUCACUGCAGGUCUACGCAUAGAAAUCAUUAUAGUUUGUUUGGUUGAAAAAUGAGAAAAUAUGAGCGCAAUCUUCCACACCACCAGUGGACUGUAUUUCGUAAUUGUGUGGUUUGCUGUAAUAAUAAUAAUAUUAAUAAUGAAGCCCCUGUUGCUAAUAGUUGACGUUGUGUGGCAUGACCAGACCGUCUGCGGUUUCAACUGUGCCGUCGUUUCUGUCUUCAACAUUCACACCAAACCUUCCCCGAAUCCACUCCGAGUCUUAGUAAAACCCACUUAUGAGAAAACAAUUACUGUUAUUUAAGAGUUCAAAUGUGUGUCAUGGGCAUACUGUAUCUUAAGUGUGUCGCGUAUCUUUGUGGUGCAUAUGCAUAUUGUGACUAGUGUAGUCCACAUGUAUGAUUAUUGAAUAUUAAAUUAUUAUGGUUAAGUGAUUUCUUUAAAUUAAGCUUAUUAUCAUGUGUAAAGUGAGAGUCUAGAGGAACAAACCCGGGCCUCUUUCUGUGUUUGGACAGAAAGGUGUAACUAUAUUGAGUGUGUACUGUGUGAAUGAAUGAAUGUAACGUGUCCUCUGCUCACACCAGCUUGUCUGGCAGGGCUGUCAUUAUUAAAGUUAAGUGCAUCAAAA